RNAcentral lists this transfer RNA (77 nucleotides) under Nonomuraea pusilla. RNAcentral describes it as "tRNA_Arg_TCT". It matches the Rfam family "tRNA". Rfam says of the family: Transfer RNA (tRNA) molecules are approximately 80 nucleotides in length. Their secondary structure includes four short double-helical elements and three loops (D, anti-codon, and T loops). Lineage: Bacteria; Bacillati; Actinomycetota; Actinomycetes; Streptosporangiales; Streptosporangiaceae. The record is from RNAcentral. RNAcentral also lists the same sequence under 2 other names.
GCGCCCUUAGCUCAGCUGGAUAGAGCACCGGACUUCUAAUCCGACGGUCGCAGGUUCGAAUCCUGCAGGGCGCGCAA